This 97-nucleotide non-coding RNA is filed under the name Methyloversatilis universalis. Its description in RNAcentral is "SAH sequence". It matches the Rfam family "SAH (S-adenosyl-L-homocysteine) riboswitch aptamer". Lineage: Bacteria; Pseudomonadati; Pseudomonadota; Betaproteobacteria; Nitrosomonadales; Sterolibacteriaceae. The record is from RNAcentral. RNAcentral also lists the same sequence under 1 other name.
GAUUCCGAGGAGCGCUGCAAGGUGCCGCAAGGCCCCCAGGCUCGGAACCCGCCAGGCCGCCACGGCCGCGGGCAUUUUUCAACGGCGCUCACCUGAA